Plodia interpunctella (Indianmeal moth) is the source of this 501-nucleotide long non-coding RNA. RefSeq lists it as uncharacterized. NCBI's taxonomy places the organism in Eukaryota, Metazoa, Arthropoda, Insecta, Lepidoptera, Pyralidae. The transcript is spliced from 3 exons. The record is from RefSeq and is a predicted model, not a curated record.
GAACAACAAAUACAGUGCGGUGGGACCAAUUUUCAUCUUUCAUUAAUUGAUAAACUGUUAAUCGGUGUCCAUUUGAUUGGUUGAUUAGGAAAGACACAAAAUGUGAAAAUUUUCUGAACGAUUGUCAAUUGUGAGUGAAUUUACAAGGCAGCCGCAGUCUCCCCCAUGGCUUAACGAUGGCCAUCAAAGAGACAUUAGACGAAACAGGCAACUCGCGCAAGUGCCGGGAUUUCGUGUUAAAUUCCACUAAGCGACCACUUGAGAACUUGCCACGAAAAGUUAUCUGGAGCCCUAUGUUUAAUUAAAUUCAAAGUUAACGACAAAUUCAGCCCAAUCUAUCUUGACGAGUCGCAUGUAGGCGUCGCUGACGCCGGGACAAGUGACUUAGACAUUAAUUCUUGUCUCAUAAGUCGCUAAGCAACUUUAGUGGAAGAUGAUUAUUCAGUUCCUUUGACAAAUUCACUUAAAUUUUGUUCAUGAAGCUCGUUUCCCUAAGUUUGU